Molecule: ribosomal RNA, 427 nt
Filed under: Peltogasterella sulcata
Lineage: Eukaryota; Metazoa; Arthropoda; Thecostraca; Peltogastridae
Description: partial 16S ribosomal RNA
Rfam family: Bacterial large subunit ribosomal RNA
Source: RNAcentral
GUUAGGCCUGCUCACUGUAUAAAAAUAAAGAGCUGCAGUACUUUUGACUGUACUAAGGUAGCAUAGUAAUUAGUUUAUUAAUUAUAGACUAGAAUGAAGGGUUUAACAGAUUUUAGCUUUUUUUAUUAAAUAACUUGAAAUUGGAUUUAGGGUGAAAAUUCUUUAAUGGAUUUAAAAGACGAUAAGACCCUUAGAAUUUAAUUUAGAGGAUUUAAUUUUUGGUAGAAUUAAUAGGUUUAUUUAGAUAAAUUUAGCUGGGGCGGCUUUGGAGCAUAAAAAACCUCUUACGUAAAAGGAUUUUUAUUAAAUUAAUAAAAUGAUCCUCUUAAGGGGAUAAAGAUAAAUUACCUUACGGAUNACAGCGUAAUCCAGUUUGUGAGUUCAUAUCUUUUAUNGGGUUUGCGACCUCGAUGUNGAAUUAAGAUUU